This 524-nucleotide ribosomal RNA is filed under the name Zonosemata electa. Its description in RNAcentral is "partial small subunit ribosomal RNA". The stretch from base 392 to 524 matches the Rfam family "Bacterial large subunit ribosomal RNA", at positions 2473 to 2605 of the family's 2925-position model. Lineage: Eukaryota; Metazoa; Arthropoda; Insecta; Diptera; Tephritidae. The record is from RNAcentral.
AAACAUGUCUUUUUGAGUUAUUUUUAAAGUUUGACCUGCCCGGUGAAUAAUUUAACGGCCGCAGUAUUUUAACUGUGCAAAGGUAGCAUAAUCAUUAGUCUUUUAAUUGAAGGCUGGAAUGAAUGGUUGGACGAAGUAUGAGCUGUUUCAUAUAAAUUUAUAAUAGAAUUUUAUUUUUUAGUUAAAAAGCUAAAAUAUAAUUAAAAGACGAGAAGACCCUAUAAAUCUUUAUAUUUAUUUAUAUUUAAAUUUUAUAGAUGUGUUUUAUUUUUUUAAAAAUAAAUAUUUUAUUGGGGUGAUAUUAAAAUUUAAUAAACUUUUAAUUAAUAAAUUCAUUAAUUUAUGAUUUGUUGAUCCAUUAAUAAUGAUUAUAAGAUUAAGUUACUUUAGGGAUAACAGCGUAAUUUUUUUUGAGAGUUCAUAUCGAUAAAAAAGUUUGCGACCUCGAUGUUGGAUUAAGAGAUAAUUUUAGGUGUAGUAGCUUAAAUGUUAAGUCUGUUCGACUUUUAAAUUCUUACAUGAUC